AUUGUUUGAGGCACGGGUAUAAAUCUGUUUGUAGCCAUCUCUAGAUUUUGCUGACAAGAAAAACAGAUUUAGAGUUAUCUCCCUUCCAUCGAUUUGCAUUCGCAAAACAUCGGUAAUUUCCGUACAUCAUACGUG
Long non-coding RNA from Haliotis rubra (blacklip abalone), 135 nucleotides. RefSeq lists it as uncharacterized. The record is from RefSeq and is a predicted model, not a curated record. NCBI's taxonomy places the organism in Eukaryota, Metazoa, Mollusca, Gastropoda, Lepetellida, Haliotidae. The transcript is spliced from 3 exons.